UAAAACUUUCAACAACGGAUCUCUUGGUUCCGGCAUCGAUGAAGAACGCAGCGAAAUGCGAUACGUAAUGUGAAUUGCAAAUUCAGUGAAUCAUCGAGUCUUUGAACGCACAUUGCGCCCCCUGGUAUUCCGGGGGGCAUGCCUGUCCGAGCGUCAUU
RNAcentral lists this ribosomal RNA (158 nucleotides) under Penicillium chrysogenum. Its description in RNAcentral is "5.8S ribosomal RNA". It matches the Rfam family "5.8S ribosomal RNA". From Rfam's summary of the family: 5.8S ribosomal RNA (5.8S rRNA) is a component of the large subunit of the eukaryotic ribosome. It is transcribed by RNA polymerase I as part of the 45S precursor that also contains 18S and 28S rRNA. Functionally, it is thought that 5.8S rRNA may be involved in ribosome translocation. RNAcentral also lists the same sequence under 1 other name. Lineage: Eukaryota; Fungi; Ascomycota; Eurotiomycetes; Eurotiales; Aspergillaceae. The record is from RNAcentral.